UACUUUAUUUUUUUCUGAAUUUCUUGUUAAAUUCUCCGCCCCCGCUCCUAAUCCCCAAAAUUUCUCGAGAAAAAUCGAAGUGUUUUCUUGAGACAGGGACGGAAACCGGGAGUGCGGAUCGGAUUGGGGUUUGAUUAGAGCCCAAACAGGAAUCUAAGAACAAAGCAAGAAUUUGAGGAGAAAUUGAGAGAGAGAGAGAGAGGAAAAAGAAACGAGCAAUCGGCGGUUUGGUUUUUAUUUUUUGUUUUUGUUUUUGUUUUUUUUUUCCCCCUUUAAUUUUCGAUUAUUUUUAGUUUUGAAACAGAAGACCGGCAAAGUGUUGUGGACUCGUGGGUCCCCUGGUGGACACGUGGACGGUGACGAUGGGUCAAGAGAGCUGAGAUUGUGAUGGUCACAAAAGUUGUUAAAUCAAAAUAUUUUUGGUGGGAGCUGAAAAGGAA
This 440-nucleotide long non-coding RNA is filed under the name Carica papaya (papaya). RNAcentral's name for it is "long non-coding RNA (CPAP_LNC014998)". Lineage: Eukaryota; Viridiplantae; Streptophyta; Magnoliopsida; Brassicales; Caricaceae. The record is from RNAcentral.